Molecule: long non-coding RNA, 914 nt
Organism: Melanotaenia boesemani (Boeseman's rainbowfish)
Lineage: Eukaryota; Metazoa; Chordata; Actinopteri; Atheriniformes; Melanotaeniidae
Exons: 4
Source: RefSeq, a predicted model, not a curated record
GGCGCACACACCGGCUUGUUUGACGGCGGCUAUAAAAAGACAGCUAGGACGCCACGGUAGUAGGUUCUUGGCAUAGUCAUCCGCAUCUGGUUGCGUCGUGCACCCCUGGCUCGGCACCGUUUCAGGGUCCAGGUGACUCAUUGCCACACGAGUGGAACGCCCUGCAGAGAUAGAAGACGGGUGUAUCACAGGAGGGCUUAGGGUUAUUCCUGCCUCCUGUCUCUUGCUGAAAAGGUGCCAACAUCCUCGCAUUGUCGUUUUGUUCUGGGUCUUUUAUUAUUAGUUCUUUUAAAGUUAUUUUUAUGGAUUAAUUGUUGUUUCUAUUAUUUGCCGUCCUUUUACUAAUACAUAUCCGUUGUUGUGUUCCCCUCAGGAUACUGAUUUUAGCUGCUACCAGCGGUUGGCGUGGAGGCCCCGCAGUGGCGCCAACAGACAGGAUUGGGAGUGGUGUGAGGUGGCCCAGCACUGCUUCGUUUGUAUUGGUUUUUACCUUCUUUUUGAUUAUACAUAGGUUGCUGUGGUUUUUCUUAAGCUUAAUUUAUUUGGUUUUAACUGCAUGUUGUGUGUUAACGAAACAGCUUGGGCCCGCGCAGUAGUCCCCCUCCACUGUGAUAGCCCUACCUGACUGUUGCUGCAGCCAGUAGAGUGGUGCCUCCUCCCCUGCUGCUGUAGGUCAGGGUUGUACCUUGCUUGUAUGUGUUUCUUUGUAUUGUAAUAAACUUUGUGAUCCUGAGGGGACCAGUUGCCUCAGCCCAUCCUUCUUUACUCAAACAGGAUUCCACAUCAGUGACUUAAGUGCUCUCGCUACAGAGGGUAGUUGGCCUAAGAGGGAGAGAGAGCCAUUGUUCUCCCGGUCUGGUUGGACCCCCUUUAAAUAGCAUUAGCAGAAGAGCUGCAGAGCACGCUCGGUCACA